Molecule: ribosomal RNA, 467 nt
Filed under: uncultured bacterium
Lineage: Bacteria
Description: partial 16S ribosomal RNA
Rfam family: Bacterial small subunit ribosomal RNA
Source: RNAcentral
GACGAACGCUGGCGGCGUGCUUAACACAUGCAAGUCGAACGGAAAGGCUCCAGCUUGCUGGAGUACUCGAGUGGCGAACGGGUGAGUAACACGUGGGUAAUCUGCCCUGCACUCUGGGAUAAGCCUGGGAAACUGGGUCUAAUACUGGAUAUGACCUUUCUCCUUAUGGGGUUUGGUGGAAAGUUUUUCGGUGUAGGAUGAGCCCGCGGCCUAUCAGCUUGUUGGUGGGGUGAUGGCCUACCAAGGCGACGACGGGUAGCCGGCCUGAGAGGGUGAUCGGCCACAUUGGGACUGAGAUACGGACCAGACUCCAACGGGAGGCAGCAGUGGGGAAUAUUGCACAAUGGGCGGAAGCCUGAUGCAGCGACGCCGCGUGAGGGAUGACGGCCUUCGGGUUGUAAACCUCUUUCAGCAGGGACGAAGCGUAAGUGACGGUACCUGCAGAAGAAGCACCGGCUAACUAUGUG